UACGAAGGGGGCUAGCGUUGUUCGGAUUUACUGGGCUUAAAGCGCACGUAGGCGGAUUGUUAAGUCGGGGGUGAAAUCCUGGAGCUCAACUCCAGAAUUGCCUUCGAUACUGGCUUUCUAGAGGCUGGAAGAGGUUAGUGGAAUUCCCAGUGUAGAGGUGAAAUUCGUAGAUAUUGGGAAGAACACCAGUGGCGAAGGCGGCUAACUGGUCCAGAUCUGACGCUGAGGUGCGAAAGCGUGGGGAGCAAACAGG
This 253-nucleotide ribosomal RNA is filed under the name uncultured bacterium. RNAcentral's name for it is "partial 16S ribosomal RNA". It matches the Rfam family "Bacterial small subunit ribosomal RNA", at positions 524 to 776 of the family's 1533-position model. The record is from RNAcentral.